GAAACAUCAGGGAUACACCAACCGUCUGUCUGCGCGUGUCUGAAGUUUGCUUCACAUUUUAAGGAGUGUCCAUCAUGGAGUUAAAUGGCAUUAAGGAAGCAGCACUUUUGUCAUGGAUCAACAGUGUCUGUCCUGAGGAGCCCAUUAACAAAAUCACCCAGAUGAUGGACGGUCAUCGACUCCUUACGCUUGCCUACAGAGUGUGAGCUGUGAUGGUUACAAUAGGAAUGCCUUUUUGUUACUUAGUUGGUUACUUU
Long non-coding RNA from Rhinichthys klamathensis goyatoka, 257 nucleotides. RefSeq lists it as uncharacterized. The record is from RefSeq and is a predicted model, not a curated record. The transcript is spliced from 3 exons. NCBI's taxonomy places the organism in Eukaryota, Metazoa, Chordata, Actinopteri, Cypriniformes, Leuciscidae.